Non-coding RNA from Bos taurus (domestic cattle), 71 nucleotides. The record is from Rfam. Lineage: Eukaryota; Metazoa; Chordata; Mammalia; Artiodactyla; Bovidae.
UCCCUGGUGGCUCAGAGGUUAAGCGUCUGCCUGCAAUGCAGGAGACCCAGGUUUGAUCCCUGGGUUGGGAA